GGUACCGUGGCGAAGUUGGCUAACGCUGGGCUCUGCAAAAGCUCCAUUCGCAGGUUCGAGUCCCGCCGGUACCUCCA
This 77-nucleotide transfer RNA is filed under the name Candidatus Peregrinibacteria bacterium. RNAcentral describes it as "tRNA-Cys". It matches the Rfam family "tRNA". From Rfam's summary of the family: Transfer RNA (tRNA) molecules are approximately 80 nucleotides in length. The record is from RNAcentral. Lineage: Bacteria; Candidatus Peregrinibacteriota.